AGUGAACGCUGGCGGUAGGCCUAGCACAUGCAAGUCGAACGGCAGCACAGUAAGAGCUUGCUCUUACGGGUGGCGAGUGGCGGACGGGUGAGGAAUACAUCGGAAUCUACUUUUUCGUGGGGGAUAACGUAGGGAAACUUACGCUAAUACCGCAUACGACCUACGGGUGAAAGCAGGGGAUCUUCGGACCUUGCGCGAUUGAAUGAGCCGAUGUCGGAUUAGCUAGUUGGCGGGGUAAAGGCCCACCAAGGCGACGAUCCGUAGCUGGUCUGAGAGGAUGAUCAGCCACACUGGAACUGAGACACGGUCCAGACUCCUACGGGAGGCAGCAGUGGGGAAUAUUGGACAAUGGGCGCAAGCCUGAUCCAGCCAUACUGCGUGGGUGAAGAAGGCCUUCGGGUUGUAAAGCCCUUUUGUUGGGAAAGAAAAGCAGCAGGUUAAUACCCCGCUGUUCUGACGGUACCCAAAGAAUAAGCACCGGCUAACUUCGUG
Molecule: ribosomal RNA, 492 nt
Filed under: uncultured bacterium
Lineage: Bacteria
Description: partial 16S ribosomal RNA
Rfam family: Bacterial small subunit ribosomal RNA
Source: RNAcentral